GACGAACGCUGGCGGCGUGCUUAACACAUGCAAGUCGAGCGGAAAGGCCACUUCGGUGGUACUCGAGCGGCGAACGGGUGAGUAACACGUGAGUAAUCUGCCCUGGACUUUGGGAUAGCCACCGGAAACGGUGAUUAAUACCGGAUAUGACCUGAUGCCGCAUGGUGUUGGGUGGAAAGUUUUUCGGUCAGGAUGUGCUCGCGGCCUAUCAGCUUGAUGGUGGGGUAAUGGCCUACCAUGGCUUCGACGGGUAGCCGGCCUGAGAGGGUGACCGGCCACACUGGGACUGAGACACGGCCCAGACUCCUACGGGUGGCUG
Molecule: ribosomal RNA, 319 nt
Filed under: uncultured Actinomycetes bacterium
Lineage: Bacteria; Bacillati; Actinomycetota; Actinomycetes
Description: bacterial SSU rRNA
Rfam family: Bacterial small subunit ribosomal RNA
Source: RNAcentral